GUUGAAACAUCAGUUCACGUACGAUCACCGAAGUUAAGCUAUAUCGAGCCUGGUCAGUAUCUAGAUGAGUGACUUCUUGGGAAUACAAGUUGUUGUAA
Molecule: non-coding RNA, 98 nt
Organism: Acanthosepion pharaonis
Lineage: Eukaryota; Metazoa; Mollusca; Cephalopoda; Sepiida; Sepiidae
Source: the annotation of a GenBank genome assembly